This 5552-nucleotide long non-coding RNA is filed under the name Nicotiana benthamiana. Its description in RNAcentral is "long non-coding RNA (NBEN_LNC028092)". The record is from RNAcentral. Lineage: Eukaryota; Viridiplantae; Streptophyta; Magnoliopsida; Solanales; Solanaceae.
AUAUUUUGUUCCCAAUUCACGAUUAACUUCUACAUUUUUGUGCAACACUUUUAAUGUGAGAACAUCCUGCAAUUUAUAGAGUUAGUAGAUGAAGAAAUAACUAGAGUUCUGAUGCAACUCUUCCUUGGUGGAAGAGUUCUAGUUGACUUCAAUCCCUAACUCUUUCCCUAUCUUGGAUAUUAUUCUCUUUGAUUAAGGACUCUUUCUUCUUAUCAAUUAUGCAACCUUUACGAUCAAGAGAUAAUAAAAUACACCAUGUUAAUCUUAUCUCCUUCACAUGCAACCCACAUGCUCGAAUUUGCCCGUUUUUGUGCACCUGAGUGAUGGACCUGGUUCAUCCUUAGUUCCUUUUACAGGAAAUGUGCAUACCUGUAAAAGAGAACAAACUUAGUUAUUUAUUAAGGUAGUAAUCACAGUGUGAUUGAGACUUAAUUGUUGAUUCUCCAUCGAAUUUGAGUCCUACGCCAAUACAAACUACAAACCUUAUCCUUGAUCAGGAUUGUGUUCUCUUCUCAUAAGGAGACUUAUUCUUCUUAUCCCAUAUGCAAACUUUUCGAUCAAUUUUAGAAGAUAUUGUUGCUUGAUCCCUAAGAUUUAUCUUCUUCAUGUACAUCUCAUAUGCAUAGGUUGAUAACCACUGUAUCUCAUAAGAUGGACCUGGUCCAUCACAGAGUUGAUUUAUCAUUCUUCAAAACUUCAGCUGAACUUGGGCCAAUAAAUUCUCCCUUUUUGAUGAUGACAAACUCUGUUCUUUUACUGAUUAGAGAACCUGUUUAAACUAAACUCAACAUCAACACAAUGUUAGAAUUAUUUUUCCUUUUUAUUACUUAUCAUCAAGAACCAAGUACAUUAUGUUAUAAAUAUCGUAAACAUCACUUGUAUAAAGUACAACCCUUUUUCACCCUUUUGGCAUCAUCGAAAAGUUGCACAAAAAAUGUGAGAUAACCAGAAUUCAAAACUUACUCAUGGCCACUGGGGCUACUUCAAAUGCAAUCAUGGAUUAAUAAUGAUAGAUCAAGCUAAGAAUUUUAACCAUCAAGGAAAUAUGAACAAAUAGUUAGAGAUAAACAGUGAAUUUCAUUGAUGAUUGAUAAGAUUCUACCACAAAGCAUAAGAAGAAACAAAAAACUGAAAAUAUGAGCAAAAGAAACAAAACGUCCUGAAUUGGGUCACUGGUUUAUCUACACCAGGUAAGGAGUCUUAAGGCUUAGAAGAGGUAGGGCUGAGUUAUUUGCUUGGAGAAGUUUCAGCAUGUCUUGAAAAAUUCCAUCAUUCUUCUCCUUUUCCCUUGAAAUUUCAAUUUCGAGAACAUCUCUCUUAGAUUCUACCUCAACCAAUCAUGUCUUCAGCCUUGGUAUCUCAAUAUCCUUUGCCUCACACUCAUGUACCAAGAAUUUGACUUUGCUAUUGAUAGGUGUCUUCAUAGAUGAACCAGGUUCAUUAAGCAUGACAUUAACUUCAUAAUCACAAGCAAGCAGAGUAUUAACCCAAAAAUGAUACUUUCUUUUACUAACCUCCCACUUCUUCAUAGGUACCUUGAAAUGUACAAGAACAGUAAUAGGAAUGAAACCAUAAGGACUGGCAUGAGUUUUUGUGCUAUUGAUAACCCUAUCAGUAGGUUCGGGAGGGUUUCCUCUUCAGAUGGAACGUGUUCAUCUAUAUUUUUUCAAGUUGAACCAGACCCACUUCCCAUAUUUUACUCACACUCUAUUCUAUUUCAUUAAAUUCCUCUUCCCAAACAACUAUUGCCUCAGUUUCUUUUGUUAGACUAACAUGAGUGGGUGAAGAAUCAACCGCUCUUGUACCCUUUCCCCUCACAAUACUCCUAGUAUCGUUGAUCUCUUCUUAUUUUCCUUUUUAUUCUUACCACCUACUUCUCUAGAUUCUGUAGUCGCAACACCUACUAUAGAUCCUACCAGUACAAAUCCAUUCUCUAAAUUUGUAGCAACUUCAGAAAUUGUCUUAAGAGUAACAUUAGAAUCAGAACAUGUGUUUAGUUUCGGAAUACCUACUUUCUUCCCCCUUAGUAGCAGACUCACAUGAAUCUUCAGAUUUCUCAAAUUCUUCUUCCCUAUUUGCUUUCAAUUGCUUGUUUAUUUUCUUGGUAUGCUCUCCUUCAGCGACAAUCUUAUGAGCCAUCAUCUUUACUCUACUUUUCUUAGAUAUUGGUGUUGUAGAAGGUGCGGAAGUGGUUUCCUAUGGUAGUGAUGAAGGAAUUCCAAAAGUGUUUGACACAUCUGGGCUAGGCUAUGGAAGAGAAGAAAAUUGGAUUGUGUUUGGAAGAUGAAAGACGAAUGAGAGUUUUUGACGGCUUGAGAGAGAUGAGGUAAGGAAUACACUAAAGAUGACCAAUAUACAAGGAAAUACUAGAUGGGAUAACUAUAGCUUUUCAGACACUUAUAAGAUUAAUCAAACUAAAAUUCAGCGUUGGAGUGUAUCCGUAGAAUCUAAGUACUUCCAUUCGAUUAGGACUCUUUUGAAUGGGACUAUUCAUUUGUAACGGAUAAGUUUAAAAAGAGUUUGGUAUUUGGUAGGACUCUGCUCAUGAUACAAAUAUAGUCAAAUUAUGCAGAGUGUAGAAAACAUAGCGUGUUAUCUUAACAAACCAGGUUCUUCACUGAUAAUUCUCUCGUGUAAGUCUAAAUUUUCCAAAAUAGAUAAAAUAUUAUUAGAGAUUAAUGAGUCAUUUUAACACAUGGCACAAGAGUAUACUAUGGGAAGUAUGAGAUUGAACAAGAUUUAAUCUAACUAUACACAAUUUACAAACUUUCUAACCAAAUAUAUAUAUUUUUUUUAUUUUUUUGUUUAACCUUGAACUAGUCCUUUUGAUCUUAAUCAUCCCUAAUUCCGACCUGUUCCUCUCAAAGUGAUCUCUAAUUAAGCCUUUUGUGAAGAUAUCAGCAAUUUGCUUGUCAAUAGUAGAAAACUCCACAGUGAUCAAGCCUUUCUCAUAGUUGUCCUUCAAAAAAUGGUGUCUAACAUCCAUGUGCUUAGUUCUCUUAUGAUGAACCGGGUUAUUCACUGAAAUUCCUUUCUCAUAGUUGUCCCUAAAAAAAUGGUGUCUAACAUCUAUGUGCUUAGUUCUCUUAUGAUGAACCGCAUUUUUAGUCAUACUAAUAGUACUAGUGUUAUCACAAAAUUAGGGAUGCAACCGACUUCAAUAUCAAAAUCCAUCAACUGUUGCUUGAUCCACAAUAGUUGAGCACAAUCAUGAAGCAGCAACAACAUACUCAGCUUCAGCAUAUCCCAUUAGGUUAAAGUUACUAACUUUUGGAUAUUAAAGGUAAAGAUCAGUGGUGCCUUUCAAGUAUGUAAAUAUUCUCUCUCCAUUAGUCAAAUGAGACUCCUUUGGAUUUGCCUGAAAUUUAACACAAAGACCUACACUACAUAUAAUGUCAGGUUUGCUAGUAGUGAGAUAUAAAAGAGAAGUAAUCAUUCCCCUAUACAACUUUUGAUCAACAGAUGAACCAGGUUCAUCUAUAUCCAAUUUCGUGGAUGUUUCAAUAAGAGUGUCAAUUUCUUUGGAUGUUCCUUCCUGGUUUUGUUACUGAGGAAUAGGUUUAUGGACAGGUUCCCUCGAGGUUUGAGUAUCAGUAAUUCUCUAGUCAGUUCUCCCUGUCAUGUUGCCAUGGGUGAAAGAACUUAUUCCAUGACUUGUUCCUUCUUCUGGUGCAGCUUCAUCUUGGGAUGUGACUUCAUUUAAACCUUUUACCAGCCUAAUAGCUUCAUUUUCAUGUUCCUAUCUCUCAGAAAGAAUGUUACUUUACUUACACAAUAUUACUAUUACUUAUCUUGAUGAAUCAAUGACGAUAAAAUGCAAUGAGAUAGUGUAGCAAACGGACAUAGAAUCAGAGGAAGACGGCAUACCGGAGGAGAUUGUUAAGGUAGUUGAGAAUUUUGAAAACAGAGAGAAGUCCAACCUGGACGAGACGGAGGACUUGGGAGGUGUAGAAAAUGUCAAAGAAACACGAAUCAACAUCCACUUAUUGCCAAUACACAGAUUAUCUAAGAGAAUAUAAGGACAUAUUCGGCUGGUCGUAUGACGACAUGACGGGACUGAGUAUGUCUAUUGUGGCUCACAAACGGCCAACUGCUCCGACAUGUUCGCAAGUAAAGCAGAAGCUCAGGAAGUUGAAACCUUAUAUUAGUUUUAAAAUCAAGAAAGAAGUCACCAAGCAGAUCAAUGCCAAGGUCCUUAGGGUUGUAGAAUACCCAACAUAGUUUUCAAACCUCCUUUUUACUUACACUCCAUGAGAGGAGAUAAGGAAGUUUUUCUAAUUUAAGUUACAAUCGAAAUAGGAUUAUUUUUUUAUAAAAUUCAGAGUUGCCACUUGUGAUAAUUUAUAGUAUCCCAAGUUACCGGUUUAGAAUCCCGAAUCGAGAGAAAAGAUUGAUUGUAUUUUACAGUCCGUGAACACAGAAAUCCAGGUAAGGAAUUCUGUUAACUCGGGAGAAGGUGUUAGGCAUUCCCGAGUUCCGUGGUUCUAGCACGGUCGCUCAACUGUUAUAUUGGCUUAAUUAUCUAGUUUUAAAACACUUAUGAACCUAUGUGCAUUUUUAACUUUCUAACUGCUUUUAUUUUCCCAAAGAAUUAAUACAAGGUUAUUUAAAACCCAUCGCAAGCCACAUUACAUGAAAUGCACCCGUGGUUUACGACAUGUAUUAUUUAACCUUGUUGGAAACUAAAAUCGGAUUAUAUGAAAUGCACCCCGAAUUUAGAAAUUAAGCGUGACAACUACGUCAUGGGAACCGUACCUGUAGCUAUGACAAUUUAUUAACUGCACCUAAAAUGAGCUACGAUGUUCAAGAUUGUUUUUCGCCAAGUUUCAAAUUAUCGCGAGAUCACGAAUUAUGGAAUGGUUGUGACAAUGAAAAAAUAUAUUACUUAGUUAUUUACACUUCCUGCUAUGAAACAUUCUUCAUUAAUAAAAAAAAUGGAUUAGUUUCUAUCUUAACCAAGAUACCUAUGCACAAAAUUAUCCAAAUUUACUCUCGAAAUCAAUGUAAUGAACUAGGAAUACAACGAAUAAUAACAACAAAUAUGCAGGCUAAUAAUUGAGUUCCAACCCAUUAAAUAUCACUCUUAUAUAAGAUAUAAUCCAAAUUGUGGCUCUAGCAACAUUGACCCCCUUAAAUCUACUAAAUAAACAAUUCAUGUUAUCACUGGAAAGUUGAAAACAAUCGGAUUUUAGCUCAAAAUUAUUUAUGCUAAUUUCGUGCUAUAGCUAGAAAGGAAACUGUAAAUACGAUUGCAUUUGCAUCCUUGAACACCACCGAAUACAAAUUCAUGAAGGAAACACAUAAACUAAUAUCAUCGGAACAAACACAUGCCAGUGCUAUCAAGAGAUCACAAAUAAUUCAAACAGCAACUCAUUCAGGAACAGAAUAGUCAGCAACGACUUCAGCAAAACCCAUCUACGAAUUUAACUUUGAUUGAUUAAAUUUUAAGAAAAGACAAGAGUACCAUCUGACCUCAUAUCUGAAAUCCAAUAAGAACAUUGAAACAAUGUCGAGCAAAGAAUCACAACCAAGACUCAACCAUGGACCUCGAC